Molecule: transfer-messenger RNA, 367 nt
Filed under: Patescibacteria group
Lineage: Bacteria
Also listed under: 1 other name
Description: MFBF01 sp001774865 Standard tmRNA
Rfam family: transfer-messenger RNA
About the family: Bacterial tmRNA, also known as 10Sa RNA or SsrA, is named for its dual tRNA and mRNA-like properties. Its role is to liberate the mRNA from a stalled ribosome.
Source: RNAcentral
GGGGAUGUAUUGUUUCGACGAGAACUAGCACUUUAAAAACCGCAAGCCGAACAUGAUUCUAAAGUGCGUUAAACUUUGAAUCAAAAUUACGUGCAAACAAAAAUGCACGACCUGCUUACGCUUUAGCCUAAUAGCUUAAGCUAAGCUGUCCUUUUUAUCUUUUCUCGGUGGGAUCUUGAGGGCAACAACUUAGCCGGGAUAGGACUUCAGUUUUGAUCAAACUUCAGUCCGAAAAUUACAGGUCUUUGUUUGAAUUUCGCCUGCUUGUUGGCUAAAGAUUCAAACGAGAAUUAAAAAAUAAGCUAAGCUUGUAGAUGUUUUUAUCUUGUAUUCUUGGACCCGGGCUCAACACCCGGCAUCUCCACAC